Molecule: ribosomal RNA, 253 nt
Filed under: uncultured bacterium
Lineage: Bacteria
Description: partial 16S ribosomal RNA
Rfam family: Bacterial small subunit ribosomal RNA
Source: RNAcentral
UACGGAGGGUGCUAGCGUUGUUCGGAAUCACUGGGCGUAAAGCGCGUGUAGGCGGUCUGCUAAGUCUGAUGUGAAAGCCCGGGGCUCACCCCCGGAAGUGCAUUGGAAACUGGCAGACUGGAGUCCCGGAGAGGGGGGUGGAAUUCCUGGUGUAGCGGUGAAAUGCGUAGAUAUCAGGAGGAACACCGGUGGCGAAGGCGGCCCUCUGGACGGUGACUGACGCUGAGACGCGAAAGCGUGGGGAGCAAACAGG